Molecule: long non-coding RNA, 1072 nt
Organism: Homo sapiens (human)
Lineage: Eukaryota; Metazoa; Chordata; Mammalia; Primates; Hominidae
Exons: 2
Source: RefSeq, a predicted model, not a curated record
AGCAAGAAAGCUCCACAGCUGGUGGCCAGUGCUGCAGGCCAGCGUGGCUCCCUGGGCUUCUCUGUAGGGCUGUGUUAUCACGCUUCCCCGGGUCCGGUGCUCUGUGCAAACGUAGCCUCUUUCCUGCUCCAGGAUGGGCAAGGCACAGGGGAGGUUUCAGGUGGAGAGAAAUUGAUUUAGUGGCCACUGCUUCUGAGGCUGGAGGACCUGCCUGAGGCAGAGGGUGUGGACUUGUUCUGGGAGGACCCAGAAGGCAGAACCACGGAAGGCUACCAAGGGAGAGAUGAGGACACUGAGGCUCAGAGGGCUGACAUGCCAAGCCCCAGGGCACAGGAAGGCAGGCCUCUGCUUCCACCUCACAUCCCCCAGUGCCUCUGGAAACCGCAGCCUGUGGAGGGCCUGAGGUCGCUUAUCACCUGUCUCUGCAGCUCAUCCUCAGCAAAGACUGAGGGUCCUUGAUGCUGUCCGGGUCCUUGAUGCUGUCCCCAUCUUUAUGCCAGGUCUCAUCUCAGAGGCAGGCUCAGGAAGGGAGCUGGGAGAUGCCGGCAGAGGGCCCAGGAGAGGCACACUGCCCACCAGCUAGGAGCUGCUUCUGACCUCGCUGGCCGAUGGCCGGGGACCCUGGCCCCUCCCAACCCCAGGGACACAAAGCAGAAGAUCCCAGAAUGGGGAUGGGGAGAGAGGACCAUCUUGUUCAACUUCCUCAUUCUAUACCAGGAAAACAGGCAUCGGAGAAGGGAAGAGAUACCUCAAGGUCAACGCCAAGUCCAGCAGCUGCUGCUCUCCUGAGUCCUCCACGUGGACUUCUUCUGCGUUCCCACAUCUCAUUCCUCCAAUUUUUUUUUAAAAAUUGUUAGUAGUAGCAUAAUACUAAGAAAGCACUAUUCAAAGGAACAAGAAGACCCACCGUGUGCGGAACGGUCACUGUGCACCAGGCAACGUGACCCGCAAUUUUCUCUCCUAUAAAACGGGGAUGAGAACAGGGCCUCCCCUGCUGACUCAUGGGAAGAGGUUAAGAUCAAAGGUGACAGUGGACAUGAAUCAGCAUUUUAUAAACCACAAGACAUUGUCA